CGUAGGGUGCGAGCGUUAAUCGGAAUUACUGGGCGUAAAGCGUGCGCAGGCGGUUUGUUAAGAUAGGCGUGAAAUCCCCGGGCUCAACCUGGGAACUGCGCUUAUGACUGGCAAGCUAGAGUACGGCAGAGGGGGGUGGAAUUCCACGUGUAGCAGUGAAAUGCGUAGAGAUGUGGAGGAACACCAAUGGCGAAGGCAGCCCCCUGGGUCGAUACUGACGCUCAUGCACAAAGCGUGGGUAGCAAACAGGAUUAGAUACCCUGGUAGUCCACGCCCUAAACGAUGUCAACUAGGUGUUGGGAGGGUAAAACCUUUUAGUACCGGAGCUAACGCGUGAAGUUGACCGCCUGGGGAGUACGGCCGCAAGGUUA
This 371-nucleotide ribosomal RNA is filed under the name uncultured organism. RNAcentral's name for it is "bacterial SSU rRNA". It matches the Rfam family "Bacterial small subunit ribosomal RNA", at positions 526 to 896 of the family's 1533-position model. The record is from RNAcentral.